Molecule: ribosomal RNA, 468 nt
Filed under: uncultured bacterium
Lineage: Bacteria
Description: partial 16S ribosomal RNA
Rfam family: Bacterial small subunit ribosomal RNA
Source: RNAcentral
GACGAACGCUGGCGGCGUGCUUAACACAUGCCAGUCGAACGGAAAGGCCCUGCUUUUGUGGGGUGCUCGAGUGGCGAACGGGUGAGUAACACGUGAGUAACCUGCCCUUGACUUUGGGAUAACUUCAGGAAACUGGGGCUAAUACCGGAUAGGAGCUCCUGCUGCAUGGUGGGGGUUGGAAAGUUUCGGCGGUUGGGGAUGGACUCGCGGCUUAUCAGCUUGUUGGUGGGGUAGUGGCUUACCAAGGCUUUGACGGGUAGCCGGCCUGAGAGGGUGACCGGCGACAGUGGGAAUGAGAUACGGCCGAGACGCCUACGGGAGGCAGCAGUGGGGAAUAGUGCACAAUGGGCGGAAGCCUGAUGCAGCAACGCCGCGUGCGGGAUGACGGCCGUCGGGUGGGAAACCGCUUUCGCCGGUGACGAAGCGUGAGUGACGGGAAUGGGUAAAGAAGCACCGGCUAACUACGUG